AUUGGGAACUACAAGAAGCAGUAAUACAUCACUCUAAGAAUCGCUGCCUUUGGACACUACUCUGAAGGAGGAUCCUUCCAGUAAUAUUGUUCCAAAAUGACUGGAAUCCUGUGUCCAAGAGUGAGGACAGAUGAGAGCAGCAUACAAUGGAGCCUCUCUGCAUUGUUAUGAUGCCCAGGACUGUAGCACUGGUGAUGGUAUACAAUGGCUAUGCUAUCACACACCAUGGAGCAAGUGACUUAGAAGGGAGGAGAAGGCUUAUCCUUCCAGGAAGUCCACCUCUGAUAUGUGAGUUGAUGAGCUCUUCUUUGGUUUCGUCAUGAAUAUUAAAGGUGUGUUCAUAGUAAACUCAUCUUUGUCAUUAGUGAAACACCUUUAUACUUCACAAAUCUCAUGAUCCUUGUUUGCACUGUAUUUUUUUUCUAAAGGCUUCAUAUGUUAUCCUGUCUCUGUAGAAGAGUUUCUGCAUACAUGCAUUAGGAGAUAAUGUCUCUCCUGAAAAGACUGAUAAUCUGUGUAGGGUUGGGAUCCUGAUACUUUCCCCCCACUCUAUGGAAGUGGAACAGAAAGGCUGUGGUUUGCCAGAAGUCUUAAGGAAAACCUUUCAGGAGAGCCAAGAACCAAGACUGGACUUCUUACCUCCCAAAUCAGUGCCUUAACCACAAAUCCAGCCAUCCCCUCUUGCUAAUGCCACGCCAACUGCAUUAUAAAUCUAGUUUGUAAGUUAUGAAGCCAGUCAGUGACAAUUAUCUGGACAGCACAAAUAUAGUAACACUGCAAACAUGUUUGUUAGGCAAUAAAAUCUUACACACCUAAGAAGCUCA
RNAcentral lists this long non-coding RNA (824 nucleotides) under Apteryx rowi (Okarito brown kiwi). RNAcentral describes it as "lncRNA (ENSARWG00000013457.1)". The record is from RNAcentral. Lineage: Eukaryota; Metazoa; Chordata; Aves; Apterygiformes; Apterygidae.